UAUUCCUACGGGGGGCAGCAGUGGGGGAUAUUGGACAAUGGGGGAAACCCUGAUCCAGCGAUGCCGCGUGAGGGAAGAAGGUUUUCGGAUUGUAAACCUCUGUGGAGGGGGACGAUAAUGACGGUACCCCUUUAGGAAGCCACGGCUAACUACGUGCCAGCAGCCGCGGUAAUACGUAGGUGGCGAGCGUUGUCCGGAAUUACUGGGUGUAAAGGGAGUGUAGGCGGGAAAGCAAGUCAGAAGUGAAAACGAUGGGCUUAAUCCAUAGCUUGGCUUUGAAA
Molecule: ribosomal RNA, 281 nt
Filed under: uncultured bacterium
Lineage: Bacteria
Description: partial 16S ribosomal RNA
Rfam family: Bacterial small subunit ribosomal RNA
Source: RNAcentral